UUUCCAGCCAGUUGACUAAGAAAGAGUUCUAAUAGUAUUAUGAGUUUUUAUUUGCUUCUGUGUUAUGAUGGAUCCUGUGUUCUACCUGGAAUCCAAAAGUUCAGUGACACAUCACAUAUAAAUAGCAUAUGCCAACUCUAGUCUUUAAAUGAAAUCUUUCCUUUUCCUCUUCUGCCUCACUGUCCACACUCCAGCAUAAAAGCAGAGAGGAUUAAUAAUAUCAAAAAUAAUAUCCGCUAGCAUUUAUUGUAGGCAUACUAUGUUCUAGUCAUUGCACUGAGCACAUUCUGUGUAUUUUAUUAUUUAACUCCCACUAGUUUUCCCAUUUCAUGCCUAGGACUAAGAAAUUCAAGUGACUUGUCCAGAGAAAAAGAGCUGUUAAAAGGUGGAACCUGGCCUGAGGACUCCAAACCGUCUCCUGCCUACCCCCAGGAAGGACACCCUCUGCAGCCAUAUUGGCCAAAUGUUGUUUCCUUGCCUAGAUGUGAAUUGAGACCUCUCCAAAUUCCAAAGCACCACCCUCACUCAAAGCAUCUGUAAGUAUUGAAUUGAAAAGGGUUUUCACUGAGUAGAGAGUGACUUGAGAAUAAUUUGAUUUGGGGAGAGGUUGAGUGGAGAAAAGUUUGAAUUGUACAGAGAUUAAGUUUCAUUAAGAUUGAGUUCUGCAGAGAACUAAUUGAAUAGCAUGGUAGUGGAUUUGAGUAACAUAUGGUUGGAUUAAGGGUCAUAUUUCACAUAGUAGAGUAAACAAACAAAAGUCCACAAUAAAUUCUCCAGAAUCCUUUUGGGCCCCUCCU
This 797-nucleotide long non-coding RNA is filed under the name Felis catus (domestic cat). RNAcentral's name for it is "lncRNA (ENSFCAG00000043345.2)". Lineage: Eukaryota; Metazoa; Chordata; Mammalia; Carnivora; Felidae. The record is from RNAcentral.